GGUUAAGCGACUAAGCGUACACGGUGGAUGCCCUGGCAGUCAGAGGCGAUGAAGGACGUGCUAAUCUGCGAUAAGCGUCGGUGAGGUGAUAUGAACCGUUAUAACCGGCGAUUUCCGAAUGGGGAAACCCAGUGUGUUUCGACACACUAUCAUUAACUGAAUCCAUAGGUUAAUGAGGCGAACCGGGGGAACUGAAACAUCUAAGUACCCCGAGGAAAAGAAAUCAACCGAGAUUCCCCCAGUAGCGGCGAGCGAACGGGGAGGAGCCCAGAGCCUGAAUCAGUGUGUGUGUUAGUGGAAGCGUCUGGAAAGGCGUGCGAUACAGGGUGACAGCCCCGUACACAAAAAUGCACAUAUUGUGAGCUCGAUGAGUAGGGCGGGACACGUGGUAUCCUGUCUGAAUAUGGGGGGACCAUCCUCCAAGGCUAAAUACUCCUGACUGACCGAUAGUGAACCAGUACCGUGAGGGAAAGGCGAAAAGAACCCCGGCGAGGGGAGUGAAAAAGAACCUGAAACCGUGUACGUACAAGCAGUGGGAGCCUCUUAAUGGGGUGACUGCGUACCUUUUGUAUAAUGGGUCAGCGACUUAUAUUCUGUAGCAAGGUUAACCGAAUAGGGGAGCCGAAGGGAAACCGAGUCUUAACUGGGCGUUAAGUUGCAGGGUAUAGACCCGAAACCCGGUGAUCUAGCCAUGGGCAGGUUGAAGGUUGGGUAACACUAACUGGAGGACCGAACCGACUAAUGUUGAAAAAUUAGCGGAUGACUUGUGGCUGGGGGUGAAAGGCCAAUCAAACCGGGAGAUAGCUGGUUCUCCCCGAAAGCUAUUUAGGUAGCGCCUCGUGAAUUCAUCUCCGGGGGUAGAGCACUGUUUCGGCAAGGGGGUCAUCCCGACUUACCAACCCGAUGCAAACUGCGAAUACCGGAGAAUGUUAUCACGGGAGACACACGGCGGGUGCUAACGUCCGUCGUGAAGAGGGAAACAACCCAGACCGCCAGCUAAGGUCCCAAAGUCAUGGUUAAGUGGGAAACGAUGUGGGAAGGCCCAGACAGCCAGGAUGUUGGCUUAGAAGCAGCCAUCAUUUAAAGAAAGCGUAAUAGCUCACUGGUCGAGUCGGCCUGCGCGGAAGAUGUAACGGGGCUAAACCAUGCACCGAAGCUGCGGCAGCGACGCUUAUGCGUUGUUGGGUAGGGGAGCGUUCUGUAAGCCUGUGAAGGUGUACUGUGAGGUAUGCUGGAGGUAUCAGAAGUGCGAAUGCUGACAUAAGUAACGAUAAAGCGGGUGAAAAGCCCGCUCGCCGGAAGACCAAGGGUUCCUGUCCAACGUUAAUCGGGGCAGGGUGAGUCGACCCCUAAGGCGAGGCCGAAAGGCGUAGUCGAUGGGAAACAGGUUAAUAUUCCUGUACUUGGUGUUACUGCGAAGGGGGGACGGAGAAGGCUAUGUUGGCCGGGCGACGGUUGUCCCGGUUUAAGCGUGUAGGCUGGUUUUCCAGGCAAAUCCGGAAAAUCAAGGCUGAGGCGUGAUGACGAGGCACUACGGUGCUGAAGCAACAAAUGCCCUGCUUCCAGGAAAAGCCUCUAAGCAUCAGGUAACAUCAAAUCGUACCCCAAACCGACACAGGUGGUCAGGUAGAGAAUACCAAGGCGCUUGAGAGAACUCGGGUGAAGGAACUAGGCAAAAUGGUGCCGUAACUUCGGGAGAAGGCACGCUGAUAUGUAGGUGAAGCGACUUGCUCGUGGAGCUGAAAUCAGUCGAAGAUACCAGCUGGCUGCAACUGUUUAUUAAAAACACAGCACUGUGCAAACACGAAAGUGGACGUAUACGGUGUGACGCCUGCCCGGUGCCGGAAGGUUAAUUGAUGGGGUUAGCGGUAACGCGAAGCUCUUGAUCGAAGCCCCGGUAAACGGCGGCCGUAACUAUAACGGUCCUAAGGUAGCGAAAUUCCUUGUCGGGUAAGUUCCGACCUGCACGAAUGGCGUAAUGAUGGCCAGGCUGUCUCCACCCGAGACUCAGUGAAAUUGAACUCGCUGUGAAGAUGCAGUGUACCCGCGGCAAGACGGAAAGACCCCGUGAACCUUUACUAUAGCUUGACACUGAACAUUGAGCCUUGAUGUGUAGGAUAGGUGGGAGGCUUUGAAGUGUGGACGCCAGUCUGCAUGGAGCCGACCUUGAAAUACCACCCUUUAAUGUUUGAUGUUCUAACGUUGGCCCCUGAUCGGGGUUGCGGACAGUGUCUGGUGGGUAGUUUGACUGGGGCGGUCUCCUCCUAAAGAGUAACGGAGGAGCACGAAGGUUGGCUAAUCCUGGUCGGACAUCAGGAGGUUAGUGCAAUGGCAUAAGCCAGCUUGACUGCGAGCGUGACGGCGCGAGCAGGUGCGAAAGCAGGUCAUAGUGAUCCGGUGGUUCUGAAUGGAAGGGCCAUCGCUCAACGGAUAAAAGGUACUCCGGGGAUAACAGGCUGAUACCGCCCAAGAGUUCAUAUCGACGGCGGUGUUUGGCACCUCGAUGUCGGCUCAUCACAUCCUGGGGCUGAAGUAGGUCCCAAGGGUAUGGCUGUUCGCCAUUUAAAGUGGUACGCGAGCUGGGUUUAGAACGUCGUGAGACAGUUCGGUCCCUAUCUGCCGUGGGCGCUGGAGAACUGAGGGGGGCUGCUCCUAGUACGAGAGGACCGGAGUGGACGCAUCACUGGUGUUCGGGUUGUCAUGCCAAUGGCACUGCCCGGUAGCUAAAUGCGGAAGAGAUAAGUGCUGAAAGCAUCUAAGCACGAAACUUGCCCCGAGAUGAGUUCUCCCUGAGACUUUAAGUCUCCUGAAGGAACGUUGAAGACGACGACGUUGAUAGGCCGGGUGUGUAAGCGCAGCGAUGCGUUGAGCUAACCGGUACUAAUGAACCGUGAGGCUUAACCUU
This 2905-nucleotide ribosomal RNA is filed under the name Escherichia coli. RNAcentral describes it as "23S ribosomal RNA". It matches the Rfam family "Bacterial large subunit ribosomal RNA". Lineage: Bacteria; Pseudomonadati; Pseudomonadota; Gammaproteobacteria; Enterobacterales; Enterobacteriaceae. The record is from RNAcentral.